GAUCCUGGCUCAGGACGAACGCUGGCGGCGCGCCUAACACAUGCAAGUCGAACGAGAGAGAAGGAGCUUGCUUCUUCGAUCGAGUGGCGAACGGGUGAGUAACGCGUGAGGAACCUGCCUCAAAGAGGGGGACAACAGUUGGAAACGACUGCUAAUACCGCAUAAGCCCACGGGUCGGCAUCGACCUGAGGGAAAAGGAGCAAUCCGCUUUGAGAUGGCCUCGCGUCCGAUCAG
This 234-nucleotide ribosomal RNA is filed under the name uncultured bacterium. Its description in RNAcentral is "partial 16S ribosomal RNA". It matches the Rfam family "Bacterial small subunit ribosomal RNA", at positions 15 to 244 of the family's 1533-position model. The record is from RNAcentral.